CAAUAGCGUAUAUUAAAGUUGUUGCAGUUAAAAAGCUCGUAGUUGGAUUUCUGGUGGGAGCGAUCGGUCUGGCGCUUAGCGCGAGUACUUGCAUCGUCUCCGGCCAUCCUUGGGGAGAGUCUGUCUGGCAUUAGGUUGUCGGGCAGGGGAUCCUCAUCGUUUACUGUGAAAAAAUUAGAGUGUUCAAAGCAGGCUUAUGCCGUUGAAUAUAUUAGCAUGGAAUAAUAAGAUAGGACUUUGGUACUAUUUUGUUGGUUUGCGCACCAAAGUAAUGAUUAAUAGGGACAGUUGGGGGUAUUCGUAUUCCGUUGUCAGAGGUGAAAUUCUUGGAUUUACGGAAGACGAACUACUGCGAAAGCAUUUACCAAGGAUGUUUUCAUUAA
This 383-nucleotide ribosomal RNA is filed under the name uncultured eukaryote. RNAcentral describes it as "partial 18S ribosomal RNA". It matches the Rfam family "Eukaryotic small subunit ribosomal RNA", at positions 592 to 976 of the family's 1831-position model. The record is from RNAcentral.